This 165-nucleotide ribosomal RNA is filed under the name Malus toringoides. RNAcentral describes it as "5.8S ribosomal RNA". The stretch from base 3 to 150 matches the Rfam family "5.8S ribosomal RNA". From Rfam's summary of the family: 5.8S ribosomal RNA (5.8S rRNA) is a component of the large subunit of the eukaryotic ribosome. The record is from RNAcentral. Lineage: Eukaryota; Viridiplantae; Streptophyta; Magnoliopsida; Rosales; Rosaceae.
CGGCAACGGAUAUCUCGGCUCUCGCAUCGAUGAAGAACGUAGCGAAAUGCGAUACUUGGUGUGAAUUGGAGAAUCCCGUGAACCAUCGAGUCUUUGAACGCAAGUUGCGCCCGAAGCCAUCAGGCCGAGGGCACGCCAGCCUGGGCGUCACACGCCGUUGCCCCC